AACGAUGUCAAUAGGAGCUUGUGCUAAAGUAUGGUUCCGCAGCUACGCAAUAAAUUGACCGCCUGGGGAGUACGCCGCAAGUUAAAACUCAAAUGAAUUGACGGGGGCCCGCACAAGCGGUGGAGCAUGUGUUUUAAUUCGACGCAACGCGAAGAACCUUACCUGACCUUGACAUCACAGGAACCUCACUGAAGGGUGAGGGUGCCUUCGGGAACCUGUAGACAGGUGCUGCAUGGCUGUCGUCAGCUCGUGUCGUGAGAUGUUGGGUUAAGUCCCGCAACGAGCGCAACCCUUGUCCUUUGUUGCCAGCGGGUAAAGCCGGGAACUCAAAGGAGACUGCCAGUGACAAACUGGAGGAAGGCAGGGAUGACGUCAAGUCAUCAUGGCCCUUACGGUCAGGGCUACACACGUGCUACAAUGGGGCGUACAGAGGGCAGCCACCAUGUGAAUGGGAGCGAAUCCCGAAAGCCGGUCUCAGUUCGGAUCGGAGUCUGCAACCCGACUCCGUGAAGUUGGAUUCGCUAGUAAUCGCGCAUCAGCCAUGGCGCGGUGAAUACGUUCCCGGGCCUUGUACACACCGCCCGUCAAGCCAUGAAAGUCCGGGGUACCUGAAGUCCGUGACCGCGAGGAGCGGCCUAGGGUAAAUGCGGGUGAUUGGGGAU
RNAcentral lists this ribosomal RNA (662 nucleotides) under uncultured rumen bacterium. RNAcentral describes it as "bacterial SSU rRNA". It matches the Rfam family "Bacterial small subunit ribosomal RNA", at positions 805 to 1482 of the family's 1533-position model. The record is from RNAcentral.